Molecule: long non-coding RNA, 215 nt
Organism: Erinaceus europaeus (western European hedgehog)
Lineage: Eukaryota; Metazoa; Chordata; Mammalia; Eulipotyphla; Erinaceidae
Exons: 2
Source: RefSeq, a predicted model, not a curated record
CUAUGACCUUAGAGACCUAAAUUGGGUUACUGAUUUUAUCAUGAAUGAUGCAACUGUGAAGCUUUAUUGUGAAUCCUCUAUAUGAAGCUUCUCUUAAUGUCAAGCCUCUGGAUUAGCAAAUGUCCAGAUACAUUCAUACCUUUGACAUAUGUAUUAUUGCAGGAUGCUGGCAGAGCAUGUAUGGAUCAAUAAAACUGUUGGAUGAGUUCUCUGAA